Molecule: RNA transcript, 9406 nt
Organism: Aquila chrysaetos chrysaetos
Lineage: Eukaryota; Metazoa; Chordata; Aves; Accipitriformes; Accipitridae
Exons: 3
Source: RefSeq, a predicted model, not a curated record
GGGGGGGCGGUUGGCGGCCGGCUCCUCGGCCAGGGAGCCCCGGGGGGGGGGGGGGGGCCGGGAGGCGGGGAGGGAGUCUGUGUGUGUCUGGGGGGGGCCGUGGGGGGGUGCCGCCUCCGCUCCCGCUCCGCCCCAGCCAACGGCAGCCCCGGCAGCCGCUGCGGCCCCCCCCGGGGCCGGGCCGCGCCGGGAGCCGCGGGGAUGCUGCGCGCCGGGCAGGUACCAGGAUCCCUCUCCCCGCAGAGGCGAAUGCCACCAGCUACCCGCAAGCGUCUUCGCUGCGUGCCCAGCCGGCGGAUGAUGGGAGCUCGGCGGGUGGGAGCUCACCGGAUCGUUGCUCAGCGCGUGGAUCAGGUGGGGACGGGAACGGGGGGGAGCCCUGGGAGAGACGGGGGCGAGCAGAAAGCCCCCGUGGCAAGCGGCAGCACGCUGCGGAGUCUGCUUCUGCGGGAGACUCGGCGCCCCGUGUCAAGGUCUGCGUUUCGUAGGGCCUUUUUUGGUACAAUCCUGCAAACUGCCCUGUUCCGCAGCAGUGACCCAGUCAUUAUAUAAACAAGGGUUUAAUUUUGGAACUUUAAUAUUUAACGGGCUUAAGUUUCUUUCACUCAGACAUGUUCUCAUACACUGCCCACUCGACAAAAUACUUCUCACCUACCUUAUCGGUUGCUAACAAAGUAUCCUGCGGCUGAGUUCAUGGUCCGUUUGAGUGAAUAUUUGUACUCGGGAUAAUUCCCUUUCUUAGUAUCAGGGGUUUAUAAGAUGGCAUCACCCUGGCUGGCCCUUCUGAGUUCUCACUCUGGCUAUCCUCUAAGAUGAACAGGGGAGACAAGUAACACGAAAGGGUGUGUUGAUGCUAAGAGCAGCCAAGGCCAGCAUGGGCAGUUACCUAAAAUCAUAUACCAUUACAAACCAAGACCCUUUGGAAGAGAGACAUAGGGAUCCGUCCUGAGAUGGGACCUCUACUAGAAGUGACUUGUAUAACUCGUGUACCAACUCCUGCAAGGAGAGAGGCUGGAGCAGUGUCGAUCCCCUCUUGCUGUCUUCUGCAGAUAAUUUCCCUCUGACUUUUUUUCUGCAGUCAGUAAUUAUUCCGCACAUUUUCAGUUUUGUGAUGGUAACACAGGUACCUCCAUCUCCUUGGAGGGGACAGAAGCUCUACUUGUCCCUUGCCGUCAAAGGCAAAGACAUGGUUUCUUGUCUACGGUCCUGCUGUAGGUGUGUUACCAGCCCUUUAGCCUUGACUGUUUUUUUCUAAAGCCAUCAGAGAAGUUAGAGGAACAGGAAACAAAUUGCAUUAAAAGUGCUUUGGAGGAAGGAGUUACCAUGGAGAUGGAAAGUCGGGUGGGUUUUUUUUCGGGCUAUUGGAACACAGUAGGUCCUUCUCAAACAAACUUGUGUGGUCUUGAUAACAUGACUGCUGUCUCUCGUUCUUUGUGAUGGUCCGAAGUUGUAAGGAAUCUGCGUGUUGGCUUUAGUGGUUUCCAUUGUUGCCAUUCUCUCCGGUCAUCGAAUGACUACAUUUCCAGCAUCGACGCUCACUGAUAAUUGACCCUGGGCCACUCAGAGUAGCUCCCUUCCAAUGCCAGUUACCUAAGCGUGAUAGAUUUCCCCAUCUUGUGGUCUCUGUGAAAUGGAUUUACAGAAGGAAGCUUUUGUUCUUUGUGCUGUAGGAACUACAUUAGUAUUCUGGGAAAGAAAUAUCUGCCUUUAAACUAUGACUUAGCAUUUCUGUUAUGGUCCUACACUUUCUUACCUGGGUCCACUUUCAUGCGGUGGCCCUUCGCAGCAUACCAGUCAGCUGGUCAUUUUCAUAAAGCACUGACAGAAGGAAUAAUGUGGGCUUUGCACCCUUUAAAUAUGUUUUAAUGAUGCAGUUUUCAGUGCUGCCUAUACUGGGCUGUGAAAUGAGUAGGAACUGUGUUUAGAUAGAGGUAUAAAACUUCUCUGUGGUGUGUUUACCUGGCAUCCUACAGUUUCACAAUGCUCUGUGACCAUGGACCGUCACACUGCCUGCUCAGUACACUUUGUCACGUAAAUGCAAUGACGCAAAUAUAAGAAUUAGCCCUGCCCUGCUGGGACUGCACAAAUCCAUCAUGCAGGAGCCUGCCUUUCACGGUGCCUGUAGGGAGCACCCAGGGAAGGAGCAGGCAGGCACGGCAGGUAGCUACGGUCCUUCCCACAUCCUGCAGCCAGCUCUCCGUGAACUUCUGAGUAACAACACAUCCAUCACUUGAAUAUGUUCAGUUAGGGUUUGUUGGUUGGUUUUUUUAGCCUAUCACUUUGAACCUACGAAUUCUGAAUUUAAUCAGAUAAUUUUUUCCCCAGCCCCUGCACAUCAUGAGAUGCUUCCUUUACUCCUCACCGUCUUACCGUGGAUGUGCCUUGCUGAUUUUGUAUCAUCUCCAAACAUUGCCAGCUCACUACAUACUCAUUUUCCAGAACGUUUGCAAACAUGUUGAACGCUCAAGAAACUCCCAGCAUCCUGGCCUGUGUGUUUAUGUACAUUUGAGCACCGAGCGUUUCAGUUUUCACCUGUACUCAAAGUUUGGUGCAGGCAGUGAAUCGUCCUCCCAAGGCAGCUCUCAUCUUGGACAAUCUCAUUUUAACCUCACAGUUUUGAGGCAGGAAUGGCUUUAUAUAACCCAGAUUUCAUCCCCGGGGGUGGCGGGUUUGGUGUCGAGGUUAUGCAGAACCAAAUGCUCACCCGCACAAGUUGGGACAUCAUGGACUAUCCUGCCAGCGACCUCGUACUCGUUCCACCUUUAGCUGCUGUGAGGAGGUGAAGAAAUGCUCCAGCUCCAGGAAAGGAGCUGCAGAUCUCCAGAAGCAAACGCCCUGGGACACCGGAGCUCCCGGGAGGCAGCCCUGCUGAAAGAGCAUGUGUCAGAGGGAAGACUGGGAUAUAGGUCUCAGUCAUUCUUGGCUCAUUGAUGUGCACAUCUGAUGGCCUUAUUUUCACCUGUCAUAUCCAGUCUGCUUUCCUAUAUUCCCCUUGAGCACCUCUCUUCUCACCCUGUCGAUGACUGAAGUGGGGUACCCUAAAUGCCAGAAGAUACUUUCCUGCACAAGCUCACAUUUCAUGGACUCCUGAAUUCUAAUGACUACCCUGGACCUUUCACCCUGCCGUAGAUGCACUUCUUUGAAAGCUAAACAUCCUGCAGAUGUGGGCAGAGAUGCCAGACAGCAUUUUCAAAAGGGGAAAAGCUCUAUUGCUGGGUUGUAGUCGGUUGGGGACUGUAGGUAAACCGAUCAACACAGAGCACCAAGGUUAAUGCAUGUGCUGCUGUUGGAAUCACAGCUUCCCUUCCCACCCCGAGCCAUGCAGCAAUUCUUUGUGUCUUCGCACGGGGAAGCAGAAUUACCGCCAUCCGCUGACAUCUCCCUUUUUUGUUCCUCGCUCACGCACACUGUUCCCCCAUGCUCUGCUCUGGGGGCUGGUCCCUGACAGUUCACAGCCCGUCACUGGGUGCCCGUCACAUCUCCUGGGCAACUCUGUUCACAUGUGGAUAAUUCUUGAUGGCUCAUUUACACCAGCUUUUACUUUUCUAUGUGGUUCUUUGCCUCAGAGAUGAAACUAACCCCUUUAGUACUCUUGUGCAAUACCAAAAUGAGUGUGGAAACCAUGUUUGUGUGUUUACAAAAGAAUAUAGAUGUGUUUUCUGUCCUCCUUCAUGUGUGAGGUGACACACUCAAUGUAAAACUAAUUGGAAUUAAAGUCUUGGUGCCUCUGUGCAGCCGGCAUUAUCAUAGUUACAGUGUAGGACUGCCAGCUCAGCAGUCAUUGACUGCUUAGGAAUGACUUUUCUUCUAAUAUUACUACUAAGAAUCCAUUCAAUAAUAAUUUUAGAAUCCAUGUCUUUUUCAUUAUUUAAGAUAUAUUCAUCUCUUCCCCUUAUCUUGGUUUUAAAGACUUUAUGAGAAUCUGUUGGAUCUCUGAUUUUGAUUUAACUCUUUAGCUUCUCAGUGCCGAUAAUUUUGUGUACAAGUGCAGGGAAGGCUUGUAAAAAAGACAGCAAAGUCUUGUAAAACUUUUCUAAUUAUUUAGGUUUUGGAAAAUUUGAAGGCCUAUUCCUCUUUUGAGGAAUAACAGUUGUUCCGAUCAAGUAGAUGGAUAGUACCUCCUGAAGAGUGGCAACCGUGAAAUCCAGCAAGACAGUCUAAAGGGCCGAGGCAUUUGUUCUCUCCUUUCAUGGUACCAGCCAUCUUCCCUCUCCAUAUGACAAAAUUCCUGGUAGGCAGAGGGUCAGUGUAGGCGGCUUUCUUUCUCUUGAAUACAACUAAACUCAAUGCUGUUGUAUGAAAAAUAUUUUAUAAAAGCAGGAGAGCAAAGGACCUCAUGCAGCUGUGUAACACACUCAGCAGGAAGCUGUGUCCAGCUGUUACUUUAUUCUUUCUUUUCAAGUGUUCCAUGGCAAAACUAGAUGAGCCGUGUUAGCGGGGAUGUUCCUCUCUCCUGGAGCUGCUGGAGCCGGCGUGUUUGUGUCCCAUCCACCCUGACACACCGUCCUCCCGUUGCCAAGGAGCCGAUCGCAUUGCUGAGAGCCAGGACUGUGCCUGAACUGCUCCGGCAUUCCCGCUCUUCCUCUGCCUUCUCCCCACCUCCCACUCGGCCUCCGCCAGAAUCGGCAUUAGAAACGGUGAUCCUGCAAACGCCACCUCGCUUUGGGGGUUUUCUUUUUGCAGUUUCGGGCAACUGGGAUGUGCGCACGGACAAUCCCAGCGGUGGGACUGUCGGUUCGGCUGUGACGAGCAGGGUGUUACUACCACGGGGUGAUGGACACCUCUGCAAGAUAACUCGGGUUGCCAUGGUUACAGAUGGAAAAUAGGGCUACGGGUUAACUCGGGCCAGCGUCGCAUGAAGCACAACAUCCCACGUCAUUUUGCGCACACCUGAGACAGUGGAAGCCGGAGUGGUGGCCACCAUAAAUCCCCGAGUCCCCACCCAGCCCCAAGUUUGUACAUUAAACUUCCCGAAACCUCCCACACAGAAAUCACUGUGUGCAACAGCCUCAGGGAUGGAAUUGGGGUCAGGGUCAAGAAGCCUCCUGCAAGACUCUGGCAGAGGAGCCUGUCUCAGCCCUGUGACCUGUUAUUUCUUACUUAUUGGUGCACCCCAAAUGUUAAGGCCAUACGUAAGCUCUGAUUUUUCUGAGCUGUCACGCUCUGAAUAUUUAAGAGGAAUUCUGGGAGUCAGGCACGCACCUCACCUCUAGACCGUGGUCGCAUCCUGGAGGCAAAGCAGAUGGCUUCAGCUGGACCGGAGGGCUGGAGCCGAUACAGACUCUGAUGGACCAGGCAGCGAUGCAACAUUUCUGGCCGUUCUAAGUGUCCCCAGAACACGAUCAUCUUCAGGACUUGGUGAAAAUCUCCCAGGCAAACAAAGGGACAAAUGAAGCCUGGAGUGAAAAACAAAGGAAAAAAACAAAGGAAAAAAACAAAGGAAAAAAGAGAAGUUUCUAGCCCAAGCAGAGCUGUUACUCACAGGUGGUUUUGGAGGCUCCAUGGAAUCGCUUUGGGACGCUGCUAUUUCUCUUUCACGGCACUGGACGGCAGUACUAGAGCCCAAGGAGGACAGUUUCUGCCAGGCUGAUUCCUGCGUCUUACCGGCCACAAGCUGUUACUGUCUCCCAAAGAGCGAGCCUGCACGUGCACAGGUAUCAGCGGAAAGGAGGUAAAGGGCCUGCUGGAAAGAUCACUCCUGGCUUUUGAGGUAUUGCAUCCUUCAUUUCAACGGUCCAGCCCUAAGGAAUGGAAAGUGACAGUGCAGGAACGGAUCGAAAGAGCAGAGGCUCCCAUCUGGUGCAGUCAGUGGGCAAAUAAAUUGUGUUCACGCUAUUAAUCACUUAAUAAAAUUGCUGAUCUUUGGUGUGCUAUUCAAAAUGUGUAUUUAAGGAAGUCUUAAAAGUUUGUACCUUCAUCACAAUAUAUUCUUAUUGCCUUGGCUUUUGGGGGGGAGGAAUAGUAUUAGAAGCUGGCUUAGAGGCUUUAAACCAGUCCUUGCCAUUUCUUAGCUGCUGGCCCUUCCGGCAGGCUGAGAGCUAAUCCUCAGCUCUCCUUUCCCCUUUAAAGGAGUAAAACGAUGCAGUCAUGUACGGGCUGAGAAGGAGCUGUUUUGUGUGGUUUUUUUUUUUAAAAGGGAAAAUAGUUGGCAGGAACAUGAGCAAAGCUGAAAGUAUUUUCAUCUGUUUUGUUUUGUAAUGUUUAAUGUUUUGUUUUCUACUUUACGAAUUACACAAAGGAAUCACUCAAAACAAAGGUCUCCCAUUCUGGAAAGGGAAAAAAAAAAUCUACAGUGGGACUAAUGCGGCCAAUCAGAAUUGGCCAAGUAAGAAAAAAACCAAAAUAUCUUGAAAAAUGACAACAUCUAUUUUUUCUCACAAAAAAAAUAGAAACGCUCACCCUCUAAUUGAGAUUUGUUUGUAAAAUAAUUCCAGGCUGGGAAGGGUAAUCAAUUCGUGCAUAAAAAUAUUUUUUGAGAUUAAUUUUUAUUUUUGUUAACGGUAGCUUGAAUUUUAGAACUUACUAGUGGGUUUCCAAUGAUUAUUGCUAUGUAAGUACAAAAUACCUGUCCUAACUUUUAGACAGUUGUGUAUCCUUGUUUUAAGAAAGGCUACAGAAGAGAACUGACGGAAAAGGCACAGUUUAAAAAAAAAUAAAUCUUGGCAGUUUGAGGAGAAAACAGCUGGGAGAGGAGUCUCUUCUUGCUCCUUCCUUUUUACAAGUAUUUUAAAAAGAUAAUAGCUUAUAAUUACUUAUUUUUAGAAGUGUUUAGAAGGCUCAGCUGAGACCCAGAGGCCACUGUGGCUCAGUGCUCUACAAGCAAAGACAGUUUAUCCCUGGCCAAAAUAAUUUACAAUCCCAGUUUGAAGGCUGAGACAAGAGGCAGAGCUAAACCUCAGCCAGUACCUGCCAGCACCAAACCCAGCACGAACAGCAAAACGCCACAGUUAGUGACGGUGUCGGUUUAUUCAGCUGAGCUGAUGAAACCGCUCCGAAUUUGAUAAUUUUCAGCAAUAAAGAUAAAAAGCAUUUCAGGAAUUUUUCAGAUAAGAACAAAUAAUUCGUGGCAUCGAGUUUUAAAUACUCCGGGAGCGUCUUGGCAGCCGAUGCUGAACGAGGAGCUGCAGGCAGGCGUGGUGCUCGCUCGGUGUGUGUCUGGCAGCUCCCGGGCACUCGUGGGUGCUGCGCUGGGGGUGGGAGUGGGGACUGAAGCGACUCGCAUGAAUCACAGCAGAUUUCCCAAUCUCUCGCUGUGCUUACAAAAGCAGUCACUCCAGGCAGGGGCUGGCAGACACACGCAUUCAGUGGGAUGUGCCCUCGUACCCAUAGGUGUUUCUAAGUCACGGCCAAGCCUCGCUGCACACACGCAGCAGCAUCACCUUUCUGUAGGUGCAUCCCGUAAAGCAGUGGGCAAAGGGAGGAGGUCUGCGCCCGGACGAGGUCUGCUGGUGCCACAGUAAUGCUAAGAAAGCUGCUUAGGAAUGUCUAAACAAUUUUUUUCCCUGUUUAUUCAUUUCCCAAUUGGAAAAUACUGCUUUGUCAUAUUAAGGUUGGUGAAACUUUUAAUGGGAGAUUUUGUCGUACCCAGGGUGUGACUCCAGGGAGUUGGGAGGUGACAGCAGGACGGACAGCUGGGACUGCAGGACAGCCAAAAGCUCUGCUACAAACUCAGCCGGGAUAUGGGAGACCAGAGCUGCAAGACUCUUCUGUGGAGAUCAAAGCAGGGAUGUGCAGGCGAAUUUCUGGCAGCCCAGGUCAGCGCCCAUCAGCCCACAGCGACCAGCAAUGAAGAUGGCAACUCUGCCUGGAAGUGCUGAGGACACAACCAGCUUUGAGUUUGGUCCUUCUGGCCGAGGAAGUCUCCCGAUUAUGCAGUGGAGUGGUAACUUUGCUUUCUCAUACGGCAGGGAACAUUAUUCCAUAGCCUUUCAUCAUAUCGAGGCUUAAACAAGUUUAAGGAUAUGGUAGCAUAAGCAUUUAAUCUGUAUUACUCACUCGUUGACAUCUCAAGCGUCAGGUCGGGUUGUUUAGCAACAACCACUGGGUUCAGAACCGGCUCAAACAUACUGCGUCUGCCGUCUCCAUUACUUCAGCAGCACCCUGUCCUCUGAACGGCAGUCUGAGAGAGAGGGAGAGAGAGAAGGGCUGUAUUUACACACGUACACCCACCGCGACCAAAUUUUGGUUGUGUGGUUACAAAGGCCGUACGCGCUGCAGUUUUAUCCCCGACUCCAUUCCUUUGCGCAGUACCGUAGAGGGGAGGAUGCCAUUUCCAACAGCAGUGCGGUGGUAGGAACAGGGAGGGAAGAAGAAAACAGACAGUAGGUGCCACUCCCCGCUUUUUUCCUCUUUCCCAUCGCCACCUUUCUUGCCUCCCCUCCUUUUCCGCCAGACUCCAUAGGGAAUUUCAGACUCUUACUGCAGUCGUCACAACCCCUCCUGACUCACUGAGCCUUCGCUGGCUGUAGCUGGCUCCCUUGGAGCAUCCUUGCCUCCUGCAGCGCCAGUUCCGCAGAGCAGGGGAACAACAGGAAUAGCAGCAACAACGGUGGUCCCUGCAGCAAGAUGGACAGGCAUAAAUACACACACGUAUAGGAACAGUACAAAGCAGCCACAGAGGUAAUUCUGUAUAGCCAGGACUAAGAAACGAUGGUCAGUUGCAUGGAAGACGUGUGGGUUGAGUCUGUUUUUAGCGAGUGCUGUCUGAAGGGACAACCCCUUGCAUUUUUCCCCAUCACCGUUCUGGGGUGGAGGACCCCAUUAAUUUGCAAAGCUAGUCCUUCAUGACAUUUCUCAGUCCUUUGAAAGGAGAUGCAACUAGCAACCAGUAUACUUGCUCAGGCAUAUGCGUACUUUUUGAGUAUCUGCGUUCAGCGUAGGCAUGCAUUUGGUUUUAUUCCUUUUGCGACCAUCUUUUUGCCACAGUGAUAGUUUAAUUGUGACUAAGUGCAGGGAGGGUAAGGAGACAGAGAUAAAGAGGAGUUAUUUCAAUGUUAAACUUCGGCUGUAAAUCUCAUUACUCAGGAAUUGAGGUUACCGUCAGCAGGUAAAUCUGUGGAACUGGCAAGAAACAAGGCUAAGAAGGGGACACGGCAUAUUUCUGUAGGACGCUAACGAUUUUGCGCAUAGGGAUGGUAUUGUUACUGUAUGUUAGCUGUACAUGCCUAACUGUUCCAUGAUGGUUUUCUGCAUAUUGCCACAAAAGGCCUUGGGAAAGCUGUGAUUUCUUCCUCCCUCUGACACUUGUGUGUGUGACAUUGUGUAAGGUGAUUCAUUUUUCUGUAUUUUGGUUUCCUUCCUUUGUAAAGUGGGGUUUAUAGUGUAUCUCAGCCUUAGUGCGGCAUUAUGACGCAGUGUUUGUUAAUGCGUUGGGUCUGUUGGCAAAAUACAUGCAAUUUUCUUGGGA